CCGUCGCUCAUUGGGGAGUAGCCGCCCUGCUUCAUGCCCGCGCAACGGUUCGGUCAGAUCGAACAGCGAGCGCAGCGCGCAUGAAUCGCGGGGGCGCCUGUCAACAGACUUGGCCAUAUCGGCCAUGGCAGACGCAGCCUCUGGCCUGGCGAGACCGAUGAUCCACCACCGCCGCUCUAGGGCCC
RNAcentral lists this small RNA (185 nucleotides) under Burkholderia sp. RNAcentral describes it as "Manganese sequence". It matches the Rfam family "Manganese Mn2+ riboswitch aptamer (yybP-ykoY)". From Rfam's summary of the family: This RNA was originally discovered in E. coli during a large scale screen and was named SraF. The family was later found to exist upstream of related families of protein genes in many bacteria, including the the yybP and ykoK genes in B. subtilis. The specific functions of these proteins are unknown, but this structured RNA element may be involved in their genetic regulation as a riboswitch. The record is from RNAcentral. Lineage: Bacteria; Pseudomonadati; Pseudomonadota; Betaproteobacteria; Burkholderiales; Burkholderiaceae.